ACUUUUUUAGUAUAAUAGUACAAGUGACUUCCAAUCACUAAGUCUUAGCUUAACCCUAAGGAAAAGUA
This 68-nucleotide transfer RNA is filed under the name Aldabrachelys gigantea (Aldabra giant tortoise). RNAcentral's name for it is "tRNA-Gly". It matches the Rfam family "tRNA". Rfam says of the family: Transfer RNA (tRNA) molecules are approximately 80 nucleotides in length. Their secondary structure includes four short double-helical elements and three loops (D, anti-codon, and T loops). Lineage: Eukaryota; Metazoa; Chordata; Testudines; Testudinidae. The record is from RNAcentral.